CAGCAGCCACGGUAAUACGAACCGUGCGAACGUUAUUCGGAAUCACUGGGCUUAAAGCGCGUGUAGGCGGGAGGGCACGUCCGUCGCUGAAAUCCCCCGGCUCAACCGGGGAACGGGCGCGGAUACGACUCUCCUUGAGGAACGUAGGGGGACCUGGAACUUCCGGUGGAGCGGUGAAAUGCGUUGAGAUCGGAAGGAACGCCCGUGGCGAAAGCGAGGUCCUGGACGUUGACUGACGCUGAGACGCGAAAGCCAGGGGAGCGAACGGGAUUAGAUACCCCUGUAGUCCCUGUCUCUUAUU
This 301-nucleotide ribosomal RNA is filed under the name uncultured bacterium. Its description in RNAcentral is "partial 16S ribosomal RNA". It matches the Rfam family "Bacterial small subunit ribosomal RNA", at positions 509 to 807 of the family's 1533-position model. The record is from RNAcentral.